AGACUCAUUGUUAUCUAAGACUUAUGAUAUUGAGAAUACAAACCACUUUGUUCAGCUGUGUGCUAACAAAUUCAGAGAGAGAUCUCUACCCCUUUGCUCUUGUGUUUUCCUUCGCGAAGAUUACAGAAGCGGCCGCGUCAUCGGCACCCAAUCCGUGCUUCUGAUCCUCGAGUUCAGGUUGCGUAGGUUGGUUCUUCGAGAUUGUGGUUGGGCGAAUCCUUGGUUCAGGCUGCCGUAUAGAGACGGUGGUUGGCUCCUUGUGUGUGUCGUCAGGUUGCACUAGUUAUCCUCGCUGCUUGCAGCAAGUUAUCAGCUGAUCUUCAGCUAGUUAUCCUACAUCGUGAAGAUCGGGACAACGACCUCAUCAUCUGGUAUCAAAGCUCAAGUUUCCACGGUAGGAUUUUCAACCUUAGCUACAUAUAUAUAUCUUGUUCGUCCUAUCCACCAAAAAGCCAUAAAAAAUUGCAUUAGCCCAAAUUGUUUCAAUCUGUUUUUCUUGUGAGUUUGGUUAAGUUUCAGUCCAUUAGAGUUUUGUUUAGUUGCUGAUCAUCAUAUCCUUUGUGUGUCCUUUGUGCCUCUUUUAUAUCUACAAAUCCCUAAAGAAAAUCUGAAACCGGUAUCAUCCUUCGCGUAAACUUUGAGCCUAUCAAGUUAGAACGCUGACGGUUGUGUCUUGUUUCAAAAAAAAAGUGUGUGCAAGUGUUAUAUUUGCUCUUGUUCUUAGUUAUAAAAAAAGUAUCAAAAAAAAGGAAAGUAAAAAAAGGAGAGUUGAGGAAGAAAAGUUGUGAAGAAAGAGUAGAAAGUUCACUCUGUUUAUGUGCUCAAGUUCUGAAUUUUAUAUCAAGUCACACAAUCAGUCAUUAUCCAUCUUUGGUGUAAAAUUUUGCUUGGGUUUGAUUGCAACACUUGCAUCCUAGGCAUACUCCUUGUUUGCAUCAAAUCUGAAUUAUCUUUACGCAUGUGUUUGAUCUAUUUACAUCACUCAUAUCUUGUGGUCAGCACUAGGCAUUGAACUUCUAGUUUGGAUUGUGGUUUAACUUUACAAUAUCAAGAAUUCAGACUGCAUUCCUUGUGAAAUAUAUCCCCACCAAGCUCCACAAAUAACCCACCGUCAUAGGAAAAUACUGAUCUUGGAUUCUCCCAACCAUCAUUCUCGGUUACCACCUCGCAUUGGCCGUUGUAAUCUGCGGGGAACUCACAUGAGCUU
Molecule: long non-coding RNA, 1207 nt
Filed under: Sorghum bicolor (sorghum)
Lineage: Eukaryota; Viridiplantae; Streptophyta; Magnoliopsida; Poales; Poaceae
Description: long non-coding RNA (SBIC_LNC013777)
Source: RNAcentral